Molecule: long non-coding RNA, 1180 nt
Organism: Symphalangus syndactylus (siamang)
Lineage: Eukaryota; Metazoa; Chordata; Mammalia; Primates; Hylobatidae
Source: RefSeq, a predicted model, not a curated record
ACCUGUAGCUGCUACAGGCAGAGACAAAAAACCGUGAGUCACAACCUGUAUCAGGAGAGUUGACCUGCUCUGGACUCCGUGUUCAAGAUUUUUCUGCCCACUAUGCCUUUGCCAACUGAAUCCCCCAGUGGCCUUCACCAUGGUUACAUGGGUCUAUAGCCAAGCACAUGCACGAUCAGAGAACAAACCAUGCAUGGGCUCGCUACAGGUUAUGUCUCCUGAGUUCUAGUUCUCCGUCCUGAAGACCAUGUAAUGUGAGUUACAAGCUGUCUACAGAGGUAAGCAUUUGACUCUGGCCAGCUCAAGAUAUUCAGCAAGAUGUGAUUGUCCAGUCUUGAGGCUGUUUGCUGGGAGAAGCACUACAUAGGCUAUUGCCAGUGCCAAGGAGAACAAUCCUAACAAGACUGACAGCCCUGCCCAAAUGACACGGCAUUGAAAAUGACACCUGACUGAAUGAAGCUGACGCUGAGACGGAGUCUCCCUCUGUCGCCAGGCUGGAGUGCAGUGCCACGAUCUCGGCUCACUGCAACCUCCGCCUCCUGGGUUCAAGCGAUUCUCCUGCCUCAGCCUCCCAAGAAGCUGGGACUACAGGUGGUGAUUGACAGAUUCGUGCAUGUCCGUGCAAUUUGGUGCAUUCAGCUGCGUGCUUGCGGAUGUGGAUGUAUUUCACAGAAGCAGCAGCAGCCUGCCUUCCCUUCCCUGGAUUCCAUCUGCUGUGCAAGACAAGAUCUGUAGUCAUUCCCAGGUGCUGAUCAGAAACCCACAAAUAUCUGCCAGGCGGGCAACGGACCCUAAAGAGAGAGAUUAUCAAAAACAGCUGAGGAGCAAGCUAAAUUCCUACAGGGAAGAGUGGGACCAGAGCUCAUAGGCUGGCACUAAUAGUACUGUCUGGUCCCAAGGAGAAGCAGCAAGGCCAUGCAGGGAAUCACAUAAACAGAUCAGAAACUGAAGUUUGGCUUGCUGAUGUGACUUGCUCAAGGUCACAUAGCUACGAAUUGUAGACCUAGAACUAAAAACAUCCUGGCUCCUUGUCUAGUUUUUAUUGCUCUAUCCUAGGUUGUCUAGCUUAACUAUCUCUUGCUUCAUGGAGCUUGUAGGAAAGGAUGCCCUGCAAAUGCAGGACGUCAGCAUCUGGGGGAAUACAUCCAAUCAUUCUUGCAUUAAACCGCAAUAGAUUUCU